CAGGGAAUCUUCCGCAAUGGGCGAAAGCCUGACGGAGCAACGCCGCGUGAGUGAUGAAGGUCUUCGGAUCGUAAAACUCUGUUAUUAGGGAAGAACAAAUGUGUAAGUAACUAUGCACGUCUUGACGGUACCUAAUCAGAAAGCCACGGCUAACUACGUGCCAGCAGCCGCGGUAAUACGUAGGUGGCAAGCGUUAUCCGGAAUUAUUGGGCGUAAAGCGCGCGUAGGCGGUUUUUUAAGUCUGAUGUGAAAGCCCACGGCUCAACCGUGGAGGGUCAUUGGAAACUGGAAAACUUGAGUGCAGAAGAGGAAAGUGGAAUUCCAUGUGUAGCGGUGAAAUGCGCAGAGAUAAGGAGGAACACCAGUGGCGAAGGCGACUUUCUGGUCUGUAACUGACGCUGAUGUGCGAAAGCGUGGGGAUCAAACAGG
Molecule: ribosomal RNA, 429 nt
Filed under: Actinomycetes bacterium
Lineage: Bacteria; Bacillati; Actinomycetota; Actinomycetes
Description: Actinobacteria bacterium partial 16S ribosomal RNA
Rfam family: Bacterial small subunit ribosomal RNA
Source: RNAcentral